CUGGUUAGCUUAGUUGGUAGAGUUCUCCACUGUUAAUGGAGAGGUCCAUGGCUCGAUACCAGGAGCAG
Molecule: transfer RNA, 68 nt
Filed under: Ixodes scapularis (black-legged tick)
Lineage: Eukaryota; Metazoa; Arthropoda; Arachnida; Ixodida; Ixodidae
Rfam family: tRNA
About the family: Transfer RNA (tRNA) molecules are approximately 80 nucleotides in length. Their secondary structure includes four short double-helical elements and three loops (D, anti-codon, and T loops). Further hydrogen bonds mediate the characteristic L-shaped molecular structure. tRNAs have two regions of fundamental functional importance: the anti-codon, which is responsible for specific mRNA codon recognition, and the 3' end, to which the tRNAs corresponding amino acid is attached (by aminoacyl-tRNA synthetases). tRNAs cope with the degeneracy of the genetic code in two manners: having more than one tRNA (with a specific anti-codon) for a particular amino acid; and 'wobble' base-pairing, i.e. permitting non-standard base-pairing at the 3rd anti-codon position.
Source: Rfam by way of RNAcentral